Molecule: non-coding RNA, 722 nt
Filed under: Pan troglodytes (chimpanzee)
Lineage: Eukaryota; Metazoa; Chordata; Mammalia; Primates; Hominidae
Source: RNAcentral
UUUGUAAUAUGGAAGUUGUAAAGCUGUGUUUUAAUAGGAUUACCUUACGAAUAAGAGGACUGCUUUUUAAAGAUACGAGAUCCCGCUGCCUUGGCAAUUCUGUUAUCAGAAAGAUAGUGAUUUUGAUACAAAACAGUAAGAAACUGUAGAAUUGCAGGACCCAUAAUCCUUACAAGGAAGAUUUAGAGAGUGCUGUGUGUCAAUCACUCAUCAGCACCUCACAGGUAUUAUCUCAAUUCGUCCUGGCAACCAUCACUGCCCCUACUUAGCAGUCUCAGAGAGGAGACUCAACUCACACAGGGGCCAAGAGCUGGACCACGGAACUGGGACAAAACAUCCUUUCUGCCAACUGCGGGGGCAGCAGAACGCCACAGUGGUUGAGCAUGGGCUCUGGUGAAGGAUGGCGGGGGUUCAAAUCCCAGUUCUCCACCUCUCUGCUUCACUCCGGUUCCUGGGCCUCUGAGCUGGUCUCCUCCGCUGUGGAGUAACAGUGUGACUGCUCAUCUGCACAGAUUCCUUCUGUGCUGGACACGGUUCCAACUUUCCAACUACUCCCGCAGGAGCUCAUUUAGUGGAGACAACAAGAUCUUGCUCAGUGUCAUAGUGAGGAAGAAAUGGAAAUAUCUGUGCAGGGCCCAAGCCUGGCCUGGUGCGGGAGAGGCAUUAAUAAACGCAGCUUGAGUUCAGAAGCAGGUGGUCUGUGGCUCACUCAGCCUGGCUUC